This 256-nucleotide ribosomal RNA is filed under the name uncultured bacterium. RNAcentral describes it as "partial 16S ribosomal RNA". It matches the Rfam family "Bacterial small subunit ribosomal RNA", at positions 524 to 776 of the family's 1533-position model. The record is from RNAcentral.
GACGUAGGUGGCGAACGUUAUCCGGAAUUAUUGGGCGUAAAGGGUGCGUAGAUGGCCUGAUAAGUUAGCAGUGGGAAAUCGAGGCUCAACCUCGUGGAAGCUGGUAAUACUGUCAGGCUCGAGUGCAGGAGAGGUUAACGGAACUCCAUGUGGAGCGGUAAAAUGUGUAGAUAUAUGGAAGAACACCAAUAACGGCGAAGGCAGUUAACUAUUCUGUUACUGACAUUGAGGCACGAAAGCGUGGGGAGCAAACAGG